Molecule: long non-coding RNA, 1104 nt
Filed under: Corvus moneduloides (New Caledonian crow)
Lineage: Eukaryota; Metazoa; Chordata; Aves; Passeriformes; Corvidae
Description: lncRNA (ENSCMUG00000019170.1)
Source: RNAcentral
AUGGGCUGGCACCAGCUCUGGUUCUGGGGUGGUUUUGGUGAUCUUUUGAUGUUGUUUUGUUGUUGUUUUGGUGUUGUUUUGGUGUGGUUUUGGUGUUGUUUUGUUGUUGUGUUGGUGUGGUUUUGGUGUAGUUUUGGUGUGUUCUGGUGUUGUUUUGGUGUUGUUUUGGUGUUGCUUUGGUGUGGUUUUGGUGUUAUUUUGGUGGUGUUCUGGUGCUGUUUUGGUGUUAUUUUGGUGCUGUUUUGGUGUUGUUUUGGCAUGUUUUUGGCAUGGUUCCGGUGUGGUUUUGCCGUGUCGGUGCCGUGUCGGUGCCAUGCUGCUGUGCCCGGUGCGUGUCCCGGGGCCGGUGCCGUGUCCAGCCCUGUCCGGCCGUGUCCGGCCCGGUCCCGGCCGUUCCCUCGGGCGGCUCCGGCGGCGGCUGCAAAGCAAAGGGGGGGGAGGGGCCGGGGGGGUUUUGGGGGUCCCGCGACGGCGCCUGGGGAGAGACGGGGUCACCCCAACCCCCCCGGGCCCCCCAGGUCAGACAGAGCCCCCCAACAGCCCCAAGGGGGGGGCGGGCCCCCCAGAGGGACGGACACGAGGGGGUCCAAAAUUGGGGACGGGGGGGUCACGCCCCGGCUGGGGGGGACAAACACCACACGGGGGGACCCCGAGGGGGGCACAGCCCCCCCAGACACCUGGGGGCUCCCCGAGGCCCCGGGCCCCGCCCCCCCCCAAUCCCAUCCCCCUCCCCCCCCAGGUGUCCGGGUGCCCCCAGGGUUGGGGGGUUGGGGGUCCCUGGGGUGCUCUGGGGUCCCUGUAGGUGCCGCGGGGUGGGACAUGGGGGGCGCUGUGGGGUCUCCAUGGGGUUCCGCUGUGGGGCGGGACUCCCCGGGUGCACCUCUGGGUGCUAUGGGGUGCUGUGGGGCUGGGGGGGACGCUGUGGGGCAGAGCUGGGGGGCAGAGCUGGGGGGCAGAGCUGGGGGGCAGAGCUGGGGGACGCAGUCCUUCAGCACCUUGGGGGUGCUGAGCUGGGGGUGCUGUGGGUCUGGGGGCGCUGUGGGGCAGCGCCAUGGGGCAGGACAGCAGCCAUGGGGCAGAGCUGGGGGGCAGCACUCGCUGUAG